RNAcentral lists this ribosomal RNA (468 nucleotides) under uncultured bacterium. RNAcentral describes it as "partial 16S ribosomal RNA". It matches the Rfam family "Bacterial small subunit ribosomal RNA", at positions 28 to 507 of the family's 1533-position model. The record is from RNAcentral.
GACGAACGCUGGCGGCGUGCUUAACACAUGCAAGUCGAACGGAAAGGCCCUGCUUUUGUGGGGUGCUCGAGUGGCGAACGGGUGAGUAACACGUGAGUAACCUGCCCUUGACUUUGGGAUAACUUCAGGAAACUGGGGCAAAUACCGGAUAGGAGCUCCUGCUGCAUGGGGGGGGUGGGAAAGUUUCGGCGGUUGGGGAUGGACUCGGGGCUUAUCAGCUUGUUGGUGGGGUAGUGGCUUACCAAGGCUUUGACGGGUAGCCGGCCUUAGAGGGUGACCGGCCACAUUGGGACUGAGAUACGGCCCCGACUCCUACGGGAGGCAGCCGUGGGGAAUAUUGCCCCAUGGGCGGAAGCCUGAUGCAGCAACGCCGCGUGCGGGAUGACGGCCUUCGGGUUGUAAACCGCUUUCGCCUGUGACGAAGCGUGAGUGACGGUAAUGGGUAAAGAAGCACCGGCUAACUACGUG